RNAcentral lists this ribosomal RNA (253 nucleotides) under uncultured bacterium. RNAcentral's name for it is "partial 16S ribosomal RNA". It matches the Rfam family "Bacterial small subunit ribosomal RNA", at positions 524 to 776 of the family's 1533-position model. The record is from RNAcentral.
UACGUAGGGUGCGAGCGUUGUCCGGAUUUAUUGGGCGUAAAGAGCGUGUAGGCGGCCAGGUAGGUCGGUUGUGAAAACUGGAGGCUUAACCUUCAGACGUCGACCGAAACCAUCUGGCUAGAGUCCGGAAGAGGAGAGUGGAAUUCCUGGUGUAGCGGUGAAAUGCGCAGAUAUCAGGAGGAACACCGAUGGCGAAGGCAGGUCUCUGGGCAUUAACUGACGCUGAGGAGCGAAAGCAUGGGGAGCGAACAGG